UACGUAGGGUGCGAGCGUUGUCCGGAAUUAUUGGGCGUAAAGAGCUCGUAGGCGGCUUGUCGCGUCGGAUGUGAAAGCCCGGGGCUUAACCCCGGGUCUGCAUUCGAUACGGGCAGGCUAGAGUUCGGUAGGGGAGAUCGGAAUUCCUGGUGUAGCGGUGAAAUGACGCAGAUAUCAGGAGGAACACCGGUGGCGAAGGCGGAUCUCUGGGCCGAUACUGACGCUGAGGACGAAAGCGUGGGGAGCGAACAGG
This 253-nucleotide ribosomal RNA is filed under the name uncultured bacterium. RNAcentral's name for it is "partial 16S ribosomal RNA". It matches the Rfam family "Bacterial small subunit ribosomal RNA", at positions 524 to 776 of the family's 1533-position model. The record is from RNAcentral.